Venturia canescens is the source of this 833-nucleotide long non-coding RNA. RefSeq lists it as uncharacterized. The record is from RefSeq and is a predicted model, not a curated record. The transcript is spliced from 3 exons. Lineage: Eukaryota; Metazoa; Arthropoda; Insecta; Hymenoptera; Ichneumonidae.
GAUUGACUCAACGACCUUUCAUGAAAAUUAACAUGUGGAAGCCCACUAAUAUUCUCAUUUUGCACUUUCAAUAUACCAACCUGGAUAUAAUCGCUGACUCAGAGGAGUCACGCAUGGCUCUAGAAAAAUACGAGGAUGGUUCCGGUAGCAGUUUCAUUUAUUCUAUCAGGAAUAGCGCAGGUGGUUUUGUAAAUUGUCGACGUUGGACCAAAGCAGAAUUGAAUAUUCAUGUCUCCCAAUGGGAACAGGUGCGAACAACUGAAAUAAUUCAUCGUAAAAUCGCGAAUUUAAAAACAGCAUCUUUCACCGCUGCAAAUCAACCGGGAACAUCAUUCCAGGGAACGGAAAGCGGUGUGACGCCGCAUAGCUUGGGAGUGAAAAAGUCAUACAGCGCGUUUUUACACAUGCCCAUGAUAGACCAGACUGUAAUUAAUGUAAGUAGGAAACAUUUAUUAAAUCAAUGCAAUUACCAUAACUUUAAAACCAUAGAGGUAGAGUUUUCACGUGUUAUAAACGUAACAAAUUUUUCGUUACUCUAGGAUCCAAUUUAUAAGAAGGUGUUUGAAAUACUGAGGCCCCUUAUCGGUAGUUGGCAUAUUCAGCAUUCCUUCGAUGGUGAAGUAGACGUCCAAAAACACGAAUUACGCAAAAGAUUUGAGGUGACCGAAAAAUUACUGUACGAUAUGAAGAAUCUCAUCGACAAAAUUGACGAUCCCGCCAUCCUGCAGUUGUUUCAGCGAUUGUUCGAGCAACCGUUCCCUCCGGAAUACAGAAGAAAUCAUUGUUUUAACUUCAACAGCUAUAGGCACAAACGCAGCAAAUGCACAUCGCCA